RNAcentral lists this ribosomal RNA (425 nucleotides) under uncultured bacterium. RNAcentral describes it as "bacterial SSU rRNA". It matches the Rfam family "Bacterial small subunit ribosomal RNA", at positions 356 to 773 of the family's 1533-position model. The record is from RNAcentral.
GGGGAAUAUUGGACAAUGGGGGGAACCCUGAUCCAGCAAUGCCGCGUGUGUGAAGAAGGCCUGAGGGUUGUAAAGCACUUUCAGUGGGGAGGAGAUUGAUUAGGUUAAGAGCUGAAUUAAUGGACGUUACCCACAGAAGAAGCACCGGCUAACUCCGUGCCAGCAGCCGCGGUAAUACGGAGGGUGCAAGCGUUAAUCGGAAUUACUGGGCGUAAAGGGUGCGUAGGUUGUCUAAUAAGUUAUGUGUAAAAGCCCUGGGCUCAACCUGGGAAGGCCAGAUAAGACUGUUAGACUAGAGUAUAGGAGAGGGUAGUGGAAUUUCCGGUGUAGCGGUGAAAUGCGUAGAGAUCGGAAGGAACACCAGUGGCGAAGGCGGCUACCUGGCCGGAUACUGACACUGAAGCACGAAAGCGUGGGGAGCAAAC